UGCUUCGGAAUCUGCCCAGUAGUGGGGAAUAACCUGGGGAAACUCAGGCUAAUACCGCAUACGAACUAAGGUUGAAAGCAGGGGAUCGCAAGACCUUGCGCUAUUGGAUGAGCCGAAGUCGGAUUAGCUAGUUGGUGAGGUAAUGGCUCACCAAGGCGACGAUCCGUAGCUGGUCUGAGAGGACGACCAGCCACACUGGAACUGAGACACGGUCCAG
This 217-nucleotide ribosomal RNA is filed under the name uncultured bacterium. RNAcentral's name for it is "partial 16S ribosomal RNA". It matches the Rfam family "Bacterial small subunit ribosomal RNA", at positions 114 to 334 of the family's 1533-position model. The record is from RNAcentral.